AGAUUGAACGCUGGCGGCAUGCUUUACACAUGCAAGUCGAACGGCAGCACGGGGGCAACCCUGGUGGCGAGUGGCGAACGGGUGAGUAAUAUAUCGGAACGUACCCGGAAAUGGGGGAUAACGUAGCGAAAGUUACGCUAAUACCGCAUAUGCCCUGAGGGGGAAAGCGGGGAAUUCGUAAGAACCUCGCGUUUUCGGAGCGGCCGAUAUCGGAUUAGCUAGUAGGUGAGGUAAAGGCUCACCUAGGCGACGAUCCGUAGCUGGUCUGAGAGGACGACCAGGCCACACUGGAACUGAGACACGGUCCAGACUCCUACGGGAGGCGAGCAGUGGGGAAGUUUUGGACGAAUGGGCGCAAGGCCUGAUCCAGCCAUGCCGCGUGAGUGAAGAAGGCCUUCGGGUUGUAAAGCUCUUCAGACCGAAAGUAAACGCGACGGUUAA
RNAcentral lists this ribosomal RNA (441 nucleotides) under uncultured soil bacterium. RNAcentral describes it as "bacterial SSU rRNA". It matches the Rfam family "Bacterial small subunit ribosomal RNA", at positions 26 to 462 of the family's 1533-position model. The record is from RNAcentral.